AGAGUUUGAUCCUGGCUCAGAUUGAACGCUGGCGGCAUGGCUAAAACAUGCAAGUCGAACGAUUAAAGCUUCUUCGGAAGUGCAUAAAGUGGCGUAAGGGCGAGGAAUAUAUUUCUAUGUACCCCUAAGUCAAGGAUAGCCCAGGGAAACUUGGAGUAAUACUUGAUGUGGUCUCCGGAUCAAAGAUUUAUCGCUUAGGGAGCAGGGAAUAUCCUAUCAGGUUGUUGGUGAGGUAACGGCUCACCAAGCCAAAGACGGGUAGCGGGUGUGAGAGCAUGACCCGCCGCAUCGGAACUGAGACACUGUCCGGACUCCUACGGGAGGCUGCAGUAACGAAUAUUCCGCAAUGAGCGAAAGCUUGACGGAGCAAUGCCGCGUGUAGGAUGAAUCUCUUCGGAGUGUAAACUACUGUCAGAGACUAGGAACUCAAUGACCAAUCUCAAAGGAAGGGCCGGCUAACUUCGUGCCAGCAGCCGCGGUAAUACGAAGGGCCCGAGCGUUAUUCGGAAUCACUGGGCUUAAAGCGUACGUAGGCUGGUAUAUAGGCAUUUUGUGAAAUCCCUCGGCUCAACCGAGGAACUGCAGAGUGAACCAUAUACCUUGAGACAGACAGAGGUCGUCGGAACGAUUGGUGGAGUGGUGAAAUGCGUUGAUAUCAAUCGGAACGCCGAAGGAGAAGUCAGGCGACUGGGUCUGUUCUGACGCUGAGGUACGAAAGCGUGGGUAGCGAACGGGAUUAGAUACCCCGGUAGUCCACGCCGUAAACGAUGUGCACUAGGUCGAGGGCGUUCUGACGCGACUCUCGGCCGAAGCGAAAGUGUUAAGUGCACCGCCUGGGGAGUACGGUCGCAAGGCUAAAACUCAAAGGAAUUGACGGGGGCUCACACAAGCGGUGGAGCAUGUGGCUUAAUUCGAAGCAACGCGAAGAACCUUAUCCUAGGUUUGACAUACACGGAUUAGCUAUAAGAAACUAUAGUGACACCUUCGGGUGGAACGUGAACAGGUGCUGCAUGGCUGUCGUCAGCUCGUGCUGUGAAGUGUCGGGUUAAGUCCCUUAACGAGCG
This 1064-nucleotide ribosomal RNA is filed under the name marine metagenome. RNAcentral describes it as "bacterial SSU rRNA". It matches the Rfam family "Bacterial small subunit ribosomal RNA", at positions 8 to 1098 of the family's 1533-position model. The record is from RNAcentral.